AGAUGGAUCAUUCACAAAACCGUAGUACGUAAUGUGAUAUACAAGCUGGUUAUGAACGAAAAGAUGUGAUUAUACUUAGUACCGGUGUGUAUGCGGUCAUGUUUACAUGUGUAUUCAUGUACAUGAGCGACUACAUGUAUUGGAAACAGUAUACCACGCUCAAACACAUGCAGGAACAUGUAUGUGUGCAUACGUACGUGCAUGAGUGGAUUCAUGUGCAUGUGUUUGGGCGUAUGUGUUAAGUUCGAAUAAAGAGACCUUGGUUUGAACAUCACAAAAAAUACGUUGAACAACAUUAUAAUAACUUUUAGUGAUGGAUGUCUUGGAUCUCGUAACGAUGAAGGACGCAGCUAACUGCGAUACGCAGUGUGACUCGCAAACUUCUAAGAAUCAUCAGAUUUUUGAACGCGAAAGGUACUCUUAAGUUUUUCUUGAGAGUAUGUUCAAUUCAGUGCCUGCCAUAUUUGUUGUUUUCAGAAGACAACGCGCUUAGUAACUGCCUACUAACGGUUACUCAACUUGCAUGAGUCGCCUUUUCUGUAAACACACUAGAAGACGGCAAACUGUAAAAUGCAAAGCCUGAAUUUGAGCAAGGUUACCUGCUGAACUUAAGCAUAUUAUUAAGCAGAGGAAAAGAAACUAAUUAGGAUUUCCUUAGUAACGGCGAGUGAACAGGAAAAAGCUCAACCUGUUAAUCUACAGCUUGCUGUUGAAUUGUAGUCUCAUGAAGUGCAACCUAUGGAUGCUUUGGACUAAGUCUCUUGGAAAAGAGUACCGAAGAGGGUGAAAGUCCCGUCUUUGUCCAGAAACAUUUAGUUCAGGGUGCACGUUCACAGAGUCGCGUUCCUUGAGAUUGGAGCGCAAAGUGGGUGAUAAAUUUCAUCUAAGGCUAAAUAUUAACGAGAUUCCGAUAGCAUACAAGUACCGUGAGGGAAAGAUGAAAAGGACUUUGGGAAGAGAGUUAAAAGGAACUGAAAUCACUAAAAGGGAA
RNAcentral lists this unclassified non-coding RNA (991 nucleotides) under Metazoa environmental sample. Its description in RNAcentral is "sequence contains 18S rRNA gene, ITS1, 5.8S rRNA gene, ITS2, 28S rRNA gene". The stretch from base 576 to 991 matches the Rfam family "Eukaryotic large subunit ribosomal RNA", at positions 1 to 418 of the family's 3401-position model. The record is from RNAcentral. Lineage: Eukaryota; Metazoa.